RNAcentral lists this ribosomal RNA (420 nucleotides) under uncultured bacterium. RNAcentral describes it as "bacterial SSU rRNA". It matches the Rfam family "Bacterial small subunit ribosomal RNA", at positions 355 to 775 of the family's 1533-position model. The record is from RNAcentral.
UAAGGAAUAUUGCGCAAUGGGCGAAAGCCUGACGCAGCGACGCCGCGUGGGGGAUGAAGGUCUUCGGAUUGUAAACCCCUUUCGGGAGGGAAGAUGGAAUGGGGUAACCCAUUCGGACGGUACCUCCAGAAGCAGCCACGGCUAACUUCGUGCCAGCAGCCGCGGUAAUACGAAGGUGGCAAGCGUUAUUCGGAUUUACUGGGCGUACAGGGAGCGUAGGCGGUUCGGUAAGCCCUCUGUGAAAUCUUCAGGCUUAACCUGGAAAAGUCGGAGGGGACUGCCGGGCUAGAGGACGGGAGAGGAGCGCGGAAUUCCCGGUGUAGCGGUGAAAUGCGUAGAGAUCGGGAGGAAGGCCGGUGGCGAAGGCGGCGCUCUGGAACGUUUCUGACGCUGAGGCUCGAAAGCGUGGGGAGCAAACAG